RNAcentral lists this long non-coding RNA (486 nucleotides) under Bos taurus (domestic cattle). RNAcentral describes it as "long non-coding RNA NONBTAT017877". The record is from RNAcentral. Lineage: Eukaryota; Metazoa; Chordata; Mammalia; Artiodactyla; Bovidae.
GGAAGUACUAUCCUAUCAAAGAAGUGGACCCAUGCUGCUUCUGAUUUGCAUUCCUGCUCCUCUUAUCUGGAGUUCCUAUCACCUGACUUGCUCCUCACUUUCUGUUGAGCCCCUAGGGAAUGACAUACCACAUUCCUUUUAAUUUUUAAUUAUAGGUUCAUCCUUAAUGCGUUUUUAACAUUUACUUACUUCCAGAUAUAUGUAUAAAACCACUCUGAUGUCUUACCUGGCAUCUUUUAAGUUUGUGACUUGCCAAAUGAACUCUCUUUUCUUAGUCUACUGUCUGAUUUUGGAGCACACAAGUCUCUUUUGUUCUAUCAAUAAAAUAUGGCUCUUGCCUAUUUUGGAAGUCAAAGGAUGAACAGAGAUUUGCAUCCUCAGUGGAGUUCUGGCCUCUGCCUGAAGCAAUGACUGUCUCAGCCCUAUGUUGGAGGGUGUAAGGAACAAUGAUUAAACUUCGGAAUUCUCCAGAGAAUAAGAUACAUU